AUCUACGUUAAAAGCAUAGCAAUAUGAAUAGUUAAUUCCUUUACUUUACACAAUUGUUGGGUUAAGUUACGCAAAUUUCUGCGAUUGUUAACUUUUUAAAUAUUCAAAUAAUAAAUAUAUUUGAAGGAAUCGGACGUUCUACUGUAUCGUCGCACCUCAUAUUAGAUGUUUUUUCCAUCAUUGCAGUAAUGCUCACGGUAGAGUGUUUGAUUUACGCAAUAAAUUUCACAAGUGACUCAAUUGGAAGAUCCUUAAAAUUGUGGGGUACAUCCCGUCGCUUACGAUUUGCGGAGACGGAGAGUUUUCACAACAAAAAACCUACGUCAUUAUUUACCCAACAUGAGUUUUCCUAUUCAUGCGCAUAUCAAUGAAAUCUAUAUUAUCGUAAAGUCAAUUUCGUACAGCUGUCGUUUUAAUCUUUAGUUUAGAAAAAAGUAGCUAACUCUCUAGCAAGGAAAAUAAAUAUUGAGGUUUAUAACAUGAUUCAACCACUACAUUCGAAAAGCAAAUGAAAAAUUUACGACGGAAGCUAUCGCUCUUUUUUCAAUAAACAAACCCUUUCCUGAAUUGUUGACAAAGUUUAUUAUUAAUUACUAAUAAACAACUAUGAGAAAAGAUGGGGAAACUGCAAAUUAUGCCUAAUGACUGCCGAAUAUCAUGAUAUUACUUCCAUCUUUCCAUUCUGCCGUCUUCUUUUAAGUCUUUUACCUACCGAAUAAUACAUGAUCAAAAUCUUACUAAAAAUAAUGUCGUUUAAUAACUCAUUACAUAUUACAUACCGCAUAAUGCGAAUUGCAAUAUCCGACGGUUAAAAUAUAGACAUUUACGGUAUACAAAUGAAGUUUACCAACUCACUAGACAAUGUAAAAUACACGACGUACUAACUUGCUUUGCUAAUUUUGAUAAAAUGAAGAAUUUCAUGAAAUUUAAAAGUGGAAAACAUUAACAGUAAAAUAU
Molecule: unclassified non-coding RNA, 957 nt
Filed under: Schizosaccharomyces pombe (fission yeast)
Lineage: Eukaryota; Fungi; Ascomycota; Schizosaccharomycetes; Schizosaccharomycetales; Schizosaccharomycetaceae
Description: intergenic RNA (predicted)
Source: RNAcentral